Long non-coding RNA from Balaenoptera acutorostrata (minke whale), 336 nucleotides. RefSeq lists it as uncharacterized. NCBI's taxonomy places the organism in Eukaryota, Metazoa, Chordata, Mammalia, Artiodactyla, Balaenopteridae. The transcript has 3 exons. The record is from RefSeq and is a predicted model, not a curated record.
UCUCCUAAGAGAAUAUAACGCCGCCCGAUCUGACAGGAGGUGGAGCCCAGGCGGUAAUGCGAGCGACGGGGGACGCCUGUAAAUACAGCUGAAGCUUCGUUCGCUCACCUGCCGCUCACCUCCUGCUGUGCAGUACAGGUGAUCACCUCUCUAACAUGAAGACAGUGACAGGGAGACCUGAUUUGCAGCCUGAUUUGCUGCAAUCCAAGUCCACUCUCAGGAGACAUAAGGAAAGUGAAUCUCCACCUUUUCCCAGAUGCUAAAGAAUAAAUGUAAGAAUGAGGAAGAGAAUAGCACUGCCUCUUUCAUCAAAUCACAGAAAGUACCUCCCAACCC